RNAcentral lists this ribosomal RNA (429 nucleotides) under Bacillota bacterium. RNAcentral's name for it is "Firmicutes bacterium partial 16S ribosomal RNA". It matches the Rfam family "Bacterial small subunit ribosomal RNA", at positions 355 to 776 of the family's 1533-position model. The record is from RNAcentral. Lineage: Bacteria; Bacillati; Bacillota.
UAGGGAAUCUUGGGCAAUGGACGGAAGUCUGACCGAGCAACGCCGCGUGAGUGAAGAAGGUUUUCGGAUCGUAAAGCUCUGUUGUUAGAGAAGAACGUUGGUAGGAGUGGAAAAUCUACCAAGUGACGGUAACUAACCAGAAAGGGACGGCUAACUACGUGCCAGCAGCCGCGGUAAUACGAAGGUCCCGAGCGUUGUCCGGAUUUAUUGGGCGUAAAGCGAGCGCAGGCGGUUCUUUAAGUCUGAAGUUAAAGGCAGUGGCUUAACCAUUGUACGCUUUGGAAACUGGAGGACUUGAGUGCAGAAGGGGAGAGUGGAAUUCCAUGUGUAGCGGUGAAAUGCGUAGAUAUAUGGAGGAACACCGGUGGCGAAAGCGGCUCUCUGGUCUGUAACUGACGCUGAGGCUCGAAAGCGUGGGGAGCAAACAGG